This 27-nucleotide non-coding RNA is filed under the name Bombyx mori (domestic silkworm). Lineage: Eukaryota; Metazoa; Arthropoda; Insecta; Lepidoptera; Bombycidae. The record is from RNAcentral.
UAUCGUUAAUCACGUCGGGGUCACCAA